Molecule: ribosomal RNA, 383 nt
Filed under: uncultured bacterium
Lineage: Bacteria
Description: bacterial SSU rRNA
Rfam family: Bacterial small subunit ribosomal RNA
Source: RNAcentral
GACGAACGCUGGCGGUGUGCCUCACACAUGCAAGUCGAGCGGAUUUACUUAGGAGCUUGCUCUUAAGUAAGUUAGCGGCGGACGGGUGAGUAAUGCGUAGGAAUCUACCCUAAGGUAGGGGAUAACGGGCUGAAAGGUCCGCUAAUACCCCAUAUGCGGGUUCUCUUCGGAGGAUUCGUGAAAGGAGCAAUUCGCCUUUGGAUGAGCCUGCGUCCGAUUAGCUAGUUGGUAAGGUAAAAGCUACCAAGGCUUCGAUCGGUAGUUGGUCUGAGAGGAUGAUCAGCCACAAUGGGACUGAGACACGGGCCCAUACUCCUACGGGAGGCAGCAGUGGGGAAUUUUACGCAAUGGGACGAAAGCCUGACGUAGCGACACCGCGUGAG